AGAGAAUAGAUACCCUGGUAGUCCACGCCCUAAACGAUGUCAACUAGGUGUUGGAGGAGCAAAUCCUUUGGUACCGCAGCUAAACGCGUGAAGUUGACCGCCUGGGGAGUACGGUCGCAAGAUUAAAACUCAAAGGAAUUGACGGGGACCCGCACAAGCGGUGGAUGAUGUGGAUUAAUUCGAUGCAACGCGAACAACCUUACCUACCCUUGACAUGUCUGGAAUCCUGCUGAAAGGCGGGAGUGCCCGAAAGGGAACCGGAACACAGGUGCUGCAUGGCUGUCGUCAGCUCGUGUCGUGAGAUGUUGGGUUAAGUCCCGCAACGAGCGCAACCCUUGUCCUUAGUUGCUACGCAAGGGCACUCUAAGGAGACUGCCGGUGACAAACCGGAGGAAGGUGGGGAUGACGUCAAGUCCUCAUGGCCCUUAUGGGUAGGGCUUCACACGUCAUACAAUGGUCGGUACAGAGGGUUGCCAACCCGCGAGGGGGAGCCAAUCCCAGAAAGCCGAUCGUAGUCCGGAUCGCAGUCUGCAACUCGACUGC
RNAcentral lists this ribosomal RNA (543 nucleotides) under uncultured bacterium. RNAcentral's name for it is "bacterial SSU rRNA". It matches the Rfam family "Bacterial small subunit ribosomal RNA", at positions 774 to 1319 of the family's 1533-position model. The record is from RNAcentral.